Arabis alpina (gray rockcress) is the source of this 98-nucleotide small nucleolar RNA. It matches the Rfam family "Small nucleolar RNA snR60/Z15/Z230/Z193/J17". From Rfam's summary of the family: The members of this family belong to the C/D class of snoRNAs which contain the C (UGAUGA) and D (CUGA) box motifs. The record is from Rfam. Lineage: Eukaryota; Viridiplantae; Streptophyta; Magnoliopsida; Brassicales; Brassicaceae.
AAGGGUCAAGUGAUGAUUGAUAACGCAUAGUUCAGAUGAUAAAAUCUAAAUGAUUACAUCUACUCAGCAUAGUCUUUCGCUCCUAUCUGAUGACCCUU